Molecule: unclassified non-coding RNA, 336 nt
Filed under: soil metagenome
Description: partial contains 5.8S ribosomal RNA, internal transcribed spacer 2, and large subunit ribosomal RNA
Rfam family: 5.8S ribosomal RNA (bases 1-120)
Source: RNAcentral
GAUGAAGAACGUAGCGAAAUGCGAUAAGUAAUGUGAAUUGCAGAAUUCAGUGAAUCAUCGAAUCUUUGAACGCACAUUGCGCCCGCCAGUAUUCUGGCGGGCAUGCCUGUUCGAGCGUCAUUUCAACCAUCAAGCCCCAGGCUUGUGUUGGGGACCUGCGGCUGCCGCAGGCCCUGAAAACCAGUGGCGGGCUCGCUGUCACACCGGGCGUAGUAGAUUUUAUCUCGCUCAGGGCGUGCUGCGGGUUCCGGCCGUUAAACAGCCUUUUUUACCCAAGGUUGACCUCGGAUCAGGUAGGAAGACCCGCUGAACUUAAGCAUAUCAAUAAGCGGAGGA